Non-coding RNA from Micropterus salmoides (largemouth bass), 406 nucleotides. The record is from the annotation of a RefSeq genome assembly. NCBI's taxonomy places the organism in Eukaryota, Metazoa, Chordata, Actinopteri, Centrarchiformes, Centrarchidae.
CAUGACUUUGGUCUCCGUCCUCAUCUGGACUCUCCUCUGCUGCUGCUUCACAGAGUCCAGAGGCCAGAUCACAGUGACUCAGCCUGGAGCAGUGAGCUCUGCUCUGGGAGCCUCCGUCUCCAUCAGCUGUCGGGUCAGUGAGGAGGUUUAUGGAUCAGAUAGUUUAGCCUGGUACCAACAGAAAGAUGGAGAAACUCCUGAACUCCUCAUUUACGAUGCUAGCACUCGAGAAUCAGGGAUUCCAGAUCGUUUUUCAGGCAGUGGAUCAGAGACUGACUUCACUCUGACCAUCAGUGGAGUUCAGGCUGAAGAUGCAGCAGUUUACUACUGUCAGAGUUAUCAUUAUAUCAACAGUCAAGCUGUGUUCACACAGUGAAAAAGCGUCGUACAAAAACCUCCCUCAGUC